Molecule: ribosomal RNA, 253 nt
Filed under: uncultured bacterium
Lineage: Bacteria
Description: partial 16S ribosomal RNA
Rfam family: Bacterial small subunit ribosomal RNA
Source: RNAcentral
GACAGAGGGGGCAAGCGUUGCUCGGAAUUACUGGGCGUAAAGGGCGCGUAGGCGGCUCGGCACGUCCGUUGUGAAAUCGCCCGGCUCAACUGGGCGGGGUCGGCGGAUACGGCCGAGCUGGAGCAAGCUAGGGGGUAAUGGAAUUCCCGGUGUAGUGGUGGAAUGCGUAGAUAUCGGGAGGAACACCAGUGGCGAAGGCGGUUACCUGGAGCUUUGCUGACGCUGAUGCGCGAAAGCGUGGGGAGCGAUCCGG